CUACGGGUCGCAGCAGUGAGGAAUAUUGCACAAUGGGGGGAACCCUGAUGCAGCAACGCCGCGUGGAGGAUGACGCAUUUCGGUGUGUAAACUCCUUUUAUAUGUCAAGAAAAUGACGGUAGCAUAUGAAUAAGCACCGGCUAACUCCGUGCCAGCAGCCGCGGUAAUACGGGGGGUGCAAGCGUUACUCGGAAUCACUGGGCGUAAAGGACGCGUAGGCGGGUUGGAAAGUCAGGUGUGAAAUCCUACAGCUUAACUGUAGAACUGCACUUGAAACUUCUAAUCUAGAGUAUGGGAGGGGGAGAUGGAAUUAGUGGUGUAGGGGUAAAAUCCGUAGAUAUCACUAGGAAUACCUAAAGCGAAGGCGAUCUCCUGGAACAUUACUGACGCUAAGGCGUGAAAGCGUGGGGAGCGAACAGGAUUAGAUACCCCCGUAGUC
This 439-nucleotide ribosomal RNA is filed under the name uncultured bacterium. RNAcentral's name for it is "partial 16S ribosomal RNA". It matches the Rfam family "Bacterial small subunit ribosomal RNA", at positions 339 to 795 of the family's 1533-position model. The record is from RNAcentral.